GAUGAACGCUGGCGGCGUGCCUAAUACAUGCAAGUCGAGCGAACGGACGAGAAGCUUGCUUCUCUGAUGUUAGCGGCGGACGGGUGAGUAACACGUGGAUAACCUACCUAUAAGACUGGGAUAACUUCGGGAAACCGGAGCUAAUACCGGAUGAUAUUUUGAACCGCAUGGUUCAAAAGUGAAAGACGGUCUUGCUGUCACUUAUAGAUGGAUCCGCGCUGCAUUAGCUAGUUGGUAAGGUAACGGCUUACCAAGGCAACGAUGCAUAGCCGACCUGAGAGGGUGAUCGGCCACACUGGAACUGAGACACGGUCCAGACUCCUACGGGAGGCAGCAGUAGGGAAUCGUACGCAAUGGGCGAAAGCCUGACGGAGCAACGCCGCGUGAGUGAUGAAGGUCUUCGGAUCGUAAAACUCUGUUAUUAGGGAAGAACAUAUGUGUAAGUAACUGUGCACAUCUUGACGGUACCUAAUCAGAAAGCCACGGCUAACUACGUG
Molecule: ribosomal RNA, 497 nt
Filed under: uncultured bacterium
Lineage: Bacteria
Description: partial 16S ribosomal RNA
Rfam family: Bacterial small subunit ribosomal RNA
Source: RNAcentral